CCGUGGCGGAUCACUGCUGAUACAACAUGAAUUAACCUCGUAUUUAAUAGGUAUUGUGUCUUAUGCUUAUAAGUGCGGCACAGCUGGGUAUCCCAGCGUUUACACUAGGGUCACAUCGUACCUUGACUUCAUUCUCCAAGCGAUGCAAUAAUAUGAUAUUACUGUUCCAUAAAUAUCAUUGUGUAAAAAACGUAAAGUUGGAUUUUCUUAUUGUGGAGAUAAGAAACAGCUCAAAUUUACAUUGUUUUGUACGUUACAAAUUAUAGGCUUAAAAUGUACGAAAUGUAACUUUGAAACGACACUAAUUUUUUACGCACGAUAAACCUCCACGACUUAGAUUAUAGAUUCCUAUACGACUCUCAGUAAAAAUUUAUCCGCACUCCAGAUAGUUAAAACUUCUGUCGACCGUAUUGAUCCAUCUGCACUCUUCGUAUGACGUCAAUAUCUGUUCAGUGCUGCUGCGCAGGUUUCUUUGUGUUACGUCAAUUCGUUUGUGACCGUUGCGUGAGUAAUGGCGCUUUGCAAUGGUGAUUUGCAGGAAAACAAUGCAGGAUGCUGUGAUUCGUUUCUUGUGGUCGGAGGUUAUGUUUGAUGCCUAUAUUUAUCAAAGAUUUAAUGCACAUUAUGGAGAAAGUGUUUUGUCACGAAGUGUGUUUGAAUGGGCACAAAAGUUCAAAGAAGAUCGCACAAGUGUUAUGAAAAAACAGCUGGACGCCCGUCCACAUCCACGAUGACAACAUUGAACGUGCUCAUGAACUUAUGCUCUAUGGAAUAGACGAGUGACACUGGAUAAUGUGGCAAAUCAUUUGCAAAUCAGCCACGGCUCUGCUUAUGCAAUAGUGCACGACAGAUUUGGAUUUUAAAAAGUUUAUGCGAGAUGGAUGCCGAAAAAGCUGAUGAAAAGGUGAAGACGACGAUGCAUUCGUGGUUCGCAGCUCAGCCCAAAACAUUUUUUAAUGAGAAAAUACGAAGGUCCUUCGGCAAAUGGACAAAGUGUAUACAGAAAUCGAGUGAUUAUGUCAAAAAAUGAUGUAUGUCUUUUUUGACAAUUGCUUAAAAUAAAUUCUACACCGACAGAGCGGGUAACUUUUUACUCACCCUCGCUGUUAAUCUAGAGGCUGGAGUACAAAGAAGUGGCACAAUGAUGUGGGCUGAUGACAUUUAUAAUUAUCAAGGAAUCACCCCUACAUUCGCUCAGAAUUUUAAUGAAACUGUCCCUUGGGAAGGAAGAACUGAUACCUUGAUAUCACGGUUUGUACAUCCUAUAUAUACGACAAAUUUUAGAACAUUAUAUAACGAAGAACCAGAUCGUCGUGGCCAUGUGAUGUGAAUAAAAGGACUUGAAUUUGAUGAUAUUUUUAUAAUGUUAGAUAACAUAACUAAGUAUCUUCACAGUAAGAUAGGAUGCCAUGGUUUACAUGAUCUUAAUGUUGUUCACUUGAGUGAUGAUAUUAUAAGGAAAAGUGUAAUAUCACAGGAUAUUUAUGUUUAGUAACCAGUAAUUCAGAGAUUGGUAUUCAUGGUUACUAUAACGAGGCUGUAGAAACGCACCCUUUCUUCUUUGCAAAUGGUCCUGUAUUUAUGUCUAAGCCGAAACUGGAACCUCUGAAUAAUUUAGAUUUAUUCUUGUUAUUUUCUAAAAUACUUAUCUACAGUAUACCAUAAGGAA
Molecule: long non-coding RNA, 1669 nt
Organism: Bombus huntii
Lineage: Eukaryota; Metazoa; Arthropoda; Insecta; Hymenoptera; Apidae
Exons: 5
Source: RefSeq, a predicted model, not a curated record